UAGGGAAGUCUUCCACAAUGGACGAAAGGUCUGAUGGAGCAACGCCGCGUGAGUGAAGAAGGGUUUCGGCUCGUAAAACACUGUUGUAAGAGAAGAAUGACAUUGAGAGUAACUGUUCAAUGUGUGACGGUAUCUUACCAGAAAGGAACGGCUAAAUACGUGCCAG
This 166-nucleotide ribosomal RNA is filed under the name uncultured bacterium. RNAcentral describes it as "partial 16S ribosomal RNA". It matches the Rfam family "Bacterial small subunit ribosomal RNA", at positions 355 to 511 of the family's 1533-position model. The record is from RNAcentral.